Molecule: small nucleolar RNA, 107 nt
Filed under: Gossypium hirsutum (cotton)
Lineage: Eukaryota; Viridiplantae; Streptophyta; Magnoliopsida; Malvales; Malvaceae
Description: Plant small nucleolar RNA R71
Rfam family: Plant small nucleolar RNA R71
About the family: R71 is a member of the C/D box family of snoRNAs containing the C (UGAUGA) and D (CUGA) box motifs. Multiple nearly identical copies of this snoRNA have been identified in Arabidopsis, and it is thought to function as a 2'-O-ribose methylation guide for 18S ribosomal RNA.
Source: Rfam by way of RNAcentral
AGUCUAUGGUGUGGGCACUUCCCUAUUAUUGUCUUGAAACGCUCCCACUCCUCAUACAAGGUCUCACAUUCGUAUUGGUUAAAGUUGGUGAUUUCUCCCCUGAGUUG